AUUGAACGCUGGCGGCGUGCUUAACACAUGCAAGUCGAUCGGUAACAGGUGUAGCAAUACAUGCUGACGAGAGGCGGACGGGUGAGUAAUGCUUGGGAAUCUGCCUAUUAGUGGGGGACAACCCGGGGAAACUCGGGCUAAUACCGCAUACGCUCUACGGAGGAAAGCCGGGGACCGCAAGGCCUGGCGCUAAUAGAUGAGCCCAAGUCGGAUUAGCUAGUUGGUAGGGUAACGGCCUACCAAGGCGACAAUCCGUAGCUGGUCUGAGAGGACGACCAGCCACACCGGAACUGAGACACGGUCCGGACUCCUACGGGAGGCAGCAGUGGGGAAUAUUGGACAAUGGGGGCAACCCUGAUCCAGCGACGCCGCGUGGGUGAAGAAGGCCUGCGGGUUGUAAAGCCCUUUCGGUGGGGAAGAAAAGUCUCGACCUAAUACGUCGGGACCUUGACGUAACCCACUAAAGAGGCACCGGCUAACUCUGUGCCAGCAGCAGCCGCGGUAAG
Molecule: ribosomal RNA, 506 nt
Filed under: uncultured bacterium
Lineage: Bacteria
Description: bacterial SSU rRNA
Rfam family: Bacterial small subunit ribosomal RNA
Source: RNAcentral